Pelobates cultripes (western spadefoot toad) is the source of this 77-nucleotide non-coding RNA. NCBI's taxonomy places the organism in Eukaryota, Metazoa, Chordata, Amphibia, Anura, Pelobatidae. The record is from the annotation of a GenBank genome assembly.
GUUCACACACUCUGCAUUAUAUACACACUCUGCAUUAUAUACACAGAGUGUGUGUAUAUAAUGCAGAGUGUGUGUUU